Molecule: transfer RNA, 74 nt
Filed under: Sulfolobus acidocaldarius DSM 639
Lineage: Archaea; Thermoproteati; Thermoproteota; Thermoprotei; Sulfolobales; Sulfolobaceae
Description: tRNA-Thr
Rfam family: tRNA
About the family: Transfer RNA (tRNA) molecules are approximately 80 nucleotides in length. Their secondary structure includes four short double-helical elements and three loops (D, anti-codon, and T loops).
Source: RNAcentral
GCCGCCGUAGCUCAGCACGGUCAGAGCGCCGGCCUCGUAACAGCCGGUGGUCCCGGGUUCAAAUCCCGGCGGCG